GGACUACUGGGGUUUCUAAUCCUGUUUGCUCCCCACGCUUUCGCGCCUCAGUGUCAGUUACAGACCAGAAAGUCGCCUUCGCCACUGGUGUUCCUCCAUAUCUCUACGCAUUUCACCGCUACACAUGGAAUUCCACUUUCCUCUUCUGCACUCAAGUCUCCCAGUUUCCAAUGACCCUCCACGGUUGAGCCGUGGGCUUUCACAUCAGACUUAAGAAACCACCUGCGCGCGCUUUACGCCCAAUAAUUCCGGAUAACGCUUGCCACCUACGUAUUACCGCGGCUGCUGGCAC
This 292-nucleotide ribosomal RNA is filed under the name uncultured bacterium. RNAcentral's name for it is "partial 16S ribosomal RNA". The record is from RNAcentral.